GUUUUUUCUUCGCAUGCUUAUUCCUCAAAACAAUUCCCUUCGACCCGACGAGGGUCGAAGCCACUGAUCGAGGGAAGGUGCCCUUCCCAUAGAGCUCUAAAAUUGGACAAAAGUAAAAAAAAAUCAAUUUUUUCGGAACCUUUCUAACGAAAGGAACUACUCUAUCCCGAACAACGGUCGGUCGGUUUGGAAACCUCGACCUCCCUCUCUUCACACAUUGUGCUCGUGGUAUU
RNAcentral lists this long non-coding RNA (233 nucleotides) under Hordeum vulgare. RNAcentral's name for it is "long non-coding RNA (HVUL_LNC016010)". Lineage: Eukaryota; Viridiplantae; Streptophyta; Magnoliopsida; Poales; Poaceae. The record is from RNAcentral.